This 94-nucleotide transfer RNA is filed under the name Lentzea sp. NBRC 102530. RNAcentral describes it as "tRNA-Pro". Lineage: Bacteria; Bacillati; Actinomycetota; Actinomycetes; Pseudonocardiales; Pseudonocardiaceae. The record is from RNAcentral.
GCACCAGCGGCACGACCGGGAGCGCGGGGCGCUGGGCCUGCUCGACCUCGGCCGGCGCCGGGGCCUGCUCGAUGAUCGUGUGGGCGUUGGUGCC